UUCCGGUUGAUCCUGCCGGACCUGACUGCUAUCGGAUUGGUACUAAGCCAUGCGAGUCAUUGUAGCAAUACAAGGCGGACGGCUCAGUAACACGUAGUCAACCUAACUCGUGGACGUGGAUAACCUCGGGAAACUGAGAAUAAACCGCGAUAGACCAUAGUGCCUGGAAUGGCCUAUGAUCAAAACAGUUUACUGCCAUGGGAUGGGACUGCGGCCUAUCAGCUUGUUGGUGAGGUAAUGGCCCACCAAGGCGAUUACAGGUACGGGCUCUGAGAGGAGAAGCCCGGAGAUGGGUACUGAGACACGGACCCAGGCCCUAUGGGGCGCAGCAGGCGAGAAACCUUAGCAAUGUGCGAAAGCACGACUGGGUCAGUCCGAGUGAUUCCUGAUGAAGGAGUCUUUUGCUAGUCCUAAAAGCACAGGUGAAUAAGGGGUGGGCAAGUCUGGUGUCAGCCGCCGCGGUAAUACCAGCACCUCGAGUGGUCAGGACGUUUAUUGGGCCUAAAGCAUCCGUAGCCGGCGCUGCAAGUCUUCGGUUAAAUCC
RNAcentral lists this ribosomal RNA (544 nucleotides) under uncultured archaeon. Its description in RNAcentral is "bacterial SSU rRNA". It matches the Rfam family "Archaeal small subunit ribosomal RNA", at positions 1 to 552 of the family's 1478-position model. The record is from RNAcentral.